GAGAGUUUGAUCCUGGCUCAGGACGAACGCUGGCGGCGUGCCUAAUACAUGCAAGUCGAGCGAACAGAGAAGGAGCUUGCUCCUUUGACGUUAGCGGCGGACGGGUGAGUAACACGUGGGCAACCUACCUUAUAGUUUGGGAUAACUCCGGGAAACCGGGGCUAAUACCGAAUAAUCUGUUUCACCUCAUGGUGAAAUACUGAAAGACGGUUUCGGCUGUCGCUAUAGGAUGGGCCCGCGGCGCAUUAGCUAGUUGGUGAGGUAACGGCUCACCAAGGCGACGAUGCGUAGCCGACCUGAGAGGGUGAUCGGCCACACUGGGAGUGAGACACGGCCCAGACUCCUACGGGAGGCAGCAGUAGGGAAUCUUCCACAAUGGGCGAAAGCCUGAUGUGCAACGCCGCGUGAGUGAAGAAGGAUUCGGCGCCCUCUCUGUGUAAGGGAAGAACAAGUACAGUAGUAACUGGCUGUAC
Molecule: ribosomal RNA, 473 nt
Filed under: Lysinibacillus sphaericus
Lineage: Bacteria; Bacillati; Bacillota; Bacilli; Caryophanales; Bacillaceae
Description: bacterial SSU rRNA
Rfam family: Bacterial small subunit ribosomal RNA
Source: RNAcentral